RNAcentral lists this ribosomal RNA (767 nucleotides) under uncultured fungus. Its description in RNAcentral is "bacterial SSU rRNA". It matches the Rfam family "Eukaryotic small subunit ribosomal RNA", at positions 403 to 1033 of the family's 1831-position model. The record is from RNAcentral. Lineage: Eukaryota; Fungi.
ACGGCUACCACAUCCAAGGAAGGCAGCAGGCGCGCAAAUUACCCAAUCCCGACACGGGGAGGUAGUGACAAUAAAUACUGAUACAGGGCUCUUUUGGGUCUUGUAAUUGGAAUGAGUACAAUUUAAAUCCCUUAACGAGGAACAAUUGGAGGGCAAGUCUGGUGCCAGCAGCCGCGGUAAUUCCAGCUCCAAUAGCGUAUAUUAAAGUUGUUGCAGUUAAAAAGCUCGUAGUUGAACCUUGGGCCUGGCUGGCCGGUCCGCCUCACCGCGUGCACUGGUCCGGCCGGGCCUUUCCUUCUGGGGAGCCGCAUGCCCUUCACUGGGUGUGUCGGGGAACCAGGACUUUUACUUUGAAAAAAUUAGAGUGUUCAAAGCAGGCCUAUGCUCGAAUACAUUAGCAUGGAAUAAUAGAAUAGGACGUGUGGUUCUAUUUUGUUGGUUUCUAGGACCGCCGUAAUGAUUAAUAGGGAUAGUCGGGGGCAUCAGUAUUCAAUUGUCAGAGGUGAAAUUCUUGGAUUUAUUGAAGACUAACUACUGCGAAAGCAUUUGCCAAGGAUGUUUUCAUUAAUCAGUGAACGAAAGUUAGGGGAUCGAAGACGAUUGCGUAAAGCACAUUUUCGGGGCUUGUGGGUUCUAGGGCAUGAUCACAAUUCAUUGAAGACAUAUGAGCGCGGAGACUACUUUAUUGAUAUAGUAGUCUAGCAAGUCCGAACUUUUAUGGUCCUCCUACAUAUGAAUUGUGAGAGUGCGUUGGAGCCUCUGGCCUU